UACGAAGGGGGCUAGCGUUGCUCGGAAUCACUGGGCGUAAAGCGCACGUAGGCGGAUCUUUAAGUCAGAGGUGAAAUCCCAAGGCUCAACCUUGGAACUGCCUUUGAUACUGGGGAUCUCGAGUCCGGAAGAGGUGAGUGGAACUGCGAGUGUAGAGGUGAAAUUCGUAGAUAUUCGCAAGAACACCAGUGGCGAAGGCGGCUCACUGGUCCGGUACUGACGCUGAGGUGCGAAAGCGUGGGGAGCAAACAGG
This 253-nucleotide ribosomal RNA is filed under the name uncultured bacterium. Its description in RNAcentral is "partial 16S ribosomal RNA". It matches the Rfam family "Bacterial small subunit ribosomal RNA", at positions 524 to 776 of the family's 1533-position model. The record is from RNAcentral. RNAcentral also lists the same sequence under 1 other name.